Molecule: ribosomal RNA, 793 nt
Filed under: uncultured archaeon
Lineage: Archaea
Description: bacterial SSU rRNA
Rfam family: Archaeal small subunit ribosomal RNA
Source: RNAcentral
ACGGCUCAGUAACACGUGGAUAACCUGCCCUUGGGUCCGGCAUAACCCCGGGAAACUGGGGAUAAUUCCGGAUAACACGCAUAUGCUGGAAUGCUUUACGUGUAAAAUGGAUUCGUCUGCCCAAGGAUGGGUCUGCGGCCUAUCAGGUAGUAGUGGGUGUAAUGUACCUACUAGCCUACGACGGGUACGGGUUGUGAGAGCAAGAGCCCGGAGAUGGAUUCUGAGACAUGAAUCCAGGCCCUACGGGGCGCAGCAGGCGCGAAAACUUUACAAUGCGGGAAACCGUGAUAAGGGGACACCGAGUGCCAGCAUCCUAUGCUGGCUGUCCGGGUGUGUAAAAUACACCUGUUAGCAAGGGCCGGGCAAGACCGGUGCCAGCCGCCGCGGUAACACCGGCGGCCCGAGUGGUGAUCGUGAUUAUUGGGUCUAAAGGGUCCGUAGCCGGUUUGGUCAGUCCUCCGGGAAAUCUGACAGCUCAACUGUUAGGCUUUCGGAGGAUACUGCCAGACUUGGAACCGGGAGAGGUAAGAGGUACUACAGGGGUAGGAGUGAAAUCUUGUAAUCCCUGUGGGACCACCUGUGGCGAAGGCGUCUUACCAGAACGGGUUCGACGGUGAGGGACGAAAGCUGGGGGCACGAACCGGAUUAGAUACCCGGGUAGUCCCAGCCGUAAACGAUGCUCGCUAGGUGUCAGGCAUGGCGCGACAGUGGUCGGUGCUGUAGGGAAGCCGUGAAGCGAGCCACCUGGGAAGUACGGCCGCAAGGCUGAAACUUAAAGGAAUUGGCGGGGGAG